AAAGAAUUAGUUAAAAUAUAACAUAAAUAUGUCAAAUUUAAAUUAUUAAUAAAUUAAUACUCUUUU
Molecule: transfer RNA, 66 nt
Filed under: Thitarodes pui
Lineage: Eukaryota; Metazoa; Arthropoda; Insecta; Lepidoptera; Hepialidae
Description: tRNA-Asp
Source: RNAcentral